CUAUGCUAAGCUGAAAGGCGACGUAUAUGGGCUGACACCUGCCCAGUGCCGGAAGGUUAAGAGGAGGAGUGAGAGCUCCGAAUUGAAGCCCCGGUGAACGGCGGCCGUAACUAUAACGGUCCUAAGGUAGCGAAAUUCCUUGUCGGGUAAGUUCCGACCUGCACGAAUGGUGAAAUGAUUUGGGAGCUGUCUUGGCUGGAGACCUGGUGAAGUUGUAAUGCCGGUGAAGAUACCGGCUACCUGCAGUAGGACGGAAAGACCCCGUGGAGCUUUACUGCAGUCUGGCAUUGGGUUUUGGCUGCGUGUGUAUAGGAUAGUUGGGAGACUGUGAAGCUGAGGCGUCAGUUUCAGCCGAGUCGCCGUUGGAAUACCAACCAUAUGCCGUUGAAAUUCUAAUCUGGUAACGGAGACAGUGCUAGAUGGGCAGUUUGACUGGGGCGGUCGCCUCCAAAAGAGUAACGGAGGCGUUCAAAGGUUCCCUCAGGCUGGAUGGAAAUCAGCCUAGGAGUGCAAACGCAUAAGGGAGCUUGACUGCAAGACUGACGGGUCGAGCAGGCACGAAAGUGGGAGUUAGUGAUCCGGCGGUUCCGUAUGGAAGGACCGUCGCUCAACGGAUAAAAGCUACCCCGGGGAUAACAGGCUGAUACUUCCCAAGAGUCCAUAUCGACGGAAGUGUUUGGCACCUCGAUGUCGGCUCGUCUCAUCCUGGGGCUGGAGAAGGUCCCAAGGGUUGGGCUGUUCGCCCAUUAAAGAGGCACGCGAGCUGGGUUCAGAACGUCGUGAGACAGUUCGGUCCCUAUCCACUGCAGGCGCCUGAAUACUGAAAAGAUCUGACCUUAGUACGAGAGGACCGGGUUGGACAGACCUCUGAUGUACCAGUUGUCACGCCAGUGGCACGGCUGGGUAGUCACGUCUGGAACGGAUAACCGCUGAAAGCAUCUAAGCGGGAAGCCGGCUUUGAGAUGAGUGUUCGCAGUAUCCAUGGAGAACACAUGGUUGAUAGGCCAGAGGUGCAAGCGCAGCAAUGCGUUCAGCUGACUGGUACUAAUAUUACGUAUGCUUUUUAGG
Molecule: ribosomal RNA, 1068 nt
Filed under: Leptotrichia hofstadii F0254
Lineage: Bacteria; Fusobacteriati; Fusobacteriota; Fusobacteriia; Fusobacteriales; Leptotrichiaceae
Description: bacterial LSU rRNA
Rfam family: Bacterial large subunit ribosomal RNA
Source: RNAcentral